CCUCCCUCUUGCUGCGUGCUUAACACAUGCAAGUCGAACGGAAAGGCCCUGCUUUUGUGGGGUGCUCGAGUGGCGAACGGGUGAGUAACACGUGAGUAACCUGCCCUUGACUUUGGGAUAACUUCAGGAAACUGGGGCUAAUACCGGAUAGGAGCUCCUGCUGCAUGGUGGGGGUUGGAAAGUUUCGGCGGUUGGGGAUGGACUCGCGGCUUAUCAGCUUGUUGGUGGGGUAGUGGCUUACCAAGGCUUUGACGGGUAGCCGGCCUGAGAGGGUGACCGGCCACAUUGGGACUGAGAUACGGCCCAGACUCCUACGGGAGGCAGCAGUGGGGAAUAUUGCACAAUGGGCGGAAGCCUGAUGCAGCAACGCCGCGUGCGGGAUGACGGCCUUCGGGUUGUAAACCGCUUUCGCCUGUGACGAAGCAUGAGUGACGGUAAUGGGUAAAGAAGCACCGGCUAACUACGUG
Molecule: ribosomal RNA, 467 nt
Filed under: uncultured bacterium
Lineage: Bacteria
Description: partial 16S ribosomal RNA
Rfam family: Bacterial small subunit ribosomal RNA
Source: RNAcentral